AUUGAACGCUGGCGGCAUGCUUUACACAUGCAAGUCGAACGGCAGCGCGGGCUUCGGCCUGGCGGCGAGUGGCGAACGGGUGAGUAAUGCAUCGGAACGUGCCCAGUAGUGGGGGAUAGCCCGGCGAAAGCCGGAUUAAUACCGCAUACGACCUGAGGGUGAAAGCGGGGGACCGAAAGGCCUCGCGCUAUUGGAGCGGCCGAUGUCGGAUUAGCUAGUUGGUGGGGUAAAGGCUUACCAAGGCGACGAUCCGUAGCUGGUCUGAGAGGACGACCAGCCACACUGGGACUGAGACACGGCCCAGACUCCUACGGGAGGCAGCAGUGGGGAAUUUUGGACAAUGGGGGCGACCCUGAUCCAGCCAUGCCGCGUGCGGGAAGAAGGCCUUCGGGUUGUAAACCGCUUUUGUUCGGGAAGAAAUCCUCUGGGCUAAUACCCCGGGGGGAUGACGGUACCGGAAGAAUAAGCACCGGCUAACUACGUG
Molecule: ribosomal RNA, 484 nt
Filed under: uncultured bacterium
Lineage: Bacteria
Description: partial 16S ribosomal RNA
Rfam family: Bacterial small subunit ribosomal RNA
Source: RNAcentral